Small nuclear RNA from Oryctolagus cuniculus (rabbit), 205 nucleotides. Its record names the gene U2. It matches the Rfam family "U2 spliceosomal RNA". From Rfam's summary of the family: U2 is a small nuclear RNA (snRNA) component of the spliceosome (involved in pre-mRNA splicing). Complementary binding between U2 snRNA (in an area lying towards the 5' end but 3' to hairpin I) and the branchpoint sequence (BPS) of the intron results the bulging out of an unpaired adenosine, on the BPS, which initiates a nucleophilic attack at the intronic 5' splice site, thus starting the first of two transesterification reactions that mediate splicing. The record is from Ensembl. Lineage: Eukaryota; Metazoa; Chordata; Mammalia; Lagomorpha; Leporidae.
AUGGCUUCUCGGCCUUUUGGCUAAGAUCAAGUGUAGUAUCAAUUAUGAUUGACAAUACAAUAACCUGGGGGUGUUAUUAUUUGAUAUAAUUAGUUAAUGAUACUGAAAAAAAUUCAGAGUAGUAAAAAAUGCCACAUCAUGACUUCCUGCAGAUCACAAUCAGAUUCUAGGCAGCUCUACUGAUUGCCUAAGCAGCUUUUACUAU